CNGNUUUAUAUCUUGANCUGAAGGGNUCAUUAAAUCAUUUAUAAUCUACUUGAUUGUAAAAUCUACAUGGAUAACUGUGGUAAUUCUAGAGCUAAUACAUGCAAAAAAUCCUGACUGUUAUGAAGGAUGNAUUUAUUANGUACAAAAUCAAUGCUGGCACUUGUGUCGGGUUUAUUGAUGAUUCAUAAUAACUAAACGAAGCNCACGACCUUGUUGGCGCUGAUACAAACGAGUUUCUGCCCUAUCAACUUUCGAUGGGAGUAUAGAGGACUACCAUGGUUUCAACNGGUUGGGGAAUA
Molecule: ribosomal RNA, 299 nt
Filed under: uncultured fungus
Lineage: Eukaryota; Fungi
Description: partial 18S ribosomal RNA
Rfam family: Eukaryotic small subunit ribosomal RNA
Source: RNAcentral